Long non-coding RNA from Xenopus laevis (African clawed frog), 511 nucleotides. RefSeq lists it as uncharacterized. Lineage: Eukaryota; Metazoa; Chordata; Amphibia; Anura; Pipidae. The record is from RefSeq and is a predicted model, not a curated record. The transcript is spliced from 5 exons.
GCCCAGUUACAUGUCAUAUAUUGUAUAACUGUAGCAAUUAUAGGCUUUAUGUUCUUUAUUUGUCUUCUAGAUCUCUCUGGAACUGUUUGAGGGCUCAGUCAGUGGCCUCAGGGAGACAAGGAGAAACAAUUCACUGGGCGAGAAGUGGACCUCGUACAUUUGCAAAGAGGUCUUAAAGGGUCUGUGUCAUCUUCAGAAAUAUCAUGUCAUUCAUCACGACCUGAAACCUGAAAACCUCAGGCUGACAUCAUCCGGCGAUGUGAAAAUCUGUGAUUUUGAAUUUGCCACCAUUGGGAAGAGGAGUUCCAGCACCAACGGGACUCCUGCAUAUAUGGCUCCCGAGGCACUUGCCUGUCUCGUAAAUGACCAUCUGGACUAUGACCACAGGGCCGACAUCUGGUCAUUGGGAGUCAGCGCCAUUGAAAUGGCACAGGGCUAUCUCCCAUACGGCAAUCUGAGGGGCCACAAGCUGAUCAACAGAAUUCUAAAAGGUCCUACUGUAACACUCACG